UACGGCGAGUGAAGAGGGAAGAGCCCAAGAUUGAAAGCUGGCGUCUUCGGCGUCCGCAUUGUAAUCUCAAGAAGUGUUUUCCGCUUCGGACCAUGCCUAAGUCCCUUGGAAAAGGGCAUCAUAGAGGGUGAUAAUCCCGUACAUGGCAUGGAGCGCCCGAAGCUUUGUGAUACGCUUUCUAAGAGUCGAGUUGUUUGGGAAUGCAGCUCAAAAUGGGUGGUAAAUGCCAUCUAAGGCUAAAUAUUGGGGAGAGACCGAUAGCGAACAAGUACAGUGAUGGAAAGAUGAAAAGAACUUUGAAAAGAGAGUUAAACAGUACGUGAAAUUGCCAAAAGGGAAGGGUAGGAGGUCAGAGAUGCGGCCUGGGAUUCAGCCUUGCUUUUGCUUGGUGUUUUUCCCAGAUUGCAGGCCAACGUCGGUUUUGGGCACUGGAGAAGGGUAGGAGGAACGUGGCACCUCUCGGGGUGUGUUAUAGCCUCCUACUGGAUACAGCGACCGAGACCGACGACAGCAGCGUACUCGCAAGAGCGGGCCUUCGGGCACCUUUACGCUUAGGGCGUUGGCAUAAUGGCCCUCUACCACCCGUCUUGAAACACGGACCA
This 602-nucleotide ribosomal RNA is filed under the name uncultured Pseudozyma. Its description in RNAcentral is "eukaryotic LSU rRNA". It matches the Rfam family "Eukaryotic large subunit ribosomal RNA", at positions 85 to 668 of the family's 3401-position model. The record is from RNAcentral. Lineage: Eukaryota; Fungi; Basidiomycota; Ustilaginomycetes; Ustilaginales; Ustilaginaceae.